This 2929-nucleotide ribosomal RNA is filed under the name Paenibacillus ihbetae. Its description in RNAcentral is "bacterial LSU rRNA". It matches the Rfam family "Bacterial large subunit ribosomal RNA". The record is from RNAcentral. Lineage: Bacteria; Bacillati; Bacillota; Bacilli; Caryophanales; Paenibacillaceae.
AUGGUUAAGCUACUAAGAGCACACGGAGGAUGCCUAGGCGCUAGGAGCCGAUGAAGGACGUGGCGAACAACGAUACUGCCUCGGGGAGCUGUAAGCAAGCUUCGAUCCGGGGAUGUCCGAAUGGGGAAACCCAGCUGGUGUAAUAGCCAGUUACCCGUAUCUGAAUACAUAGGAUGCGAGGAGGCAUACCCAGGGAACUGAAACAUCUAAGUACCUGGAGGAAGAGAAAACAAGAGUGAUUCCGUCAGUAGCGGCGAGCGAACGCGGAACAGCCUAAACCAGAGAGUUUGCUCUCUGGGGUUGUGGGACGUCUCACAUGGAGUUACAAAGGUUUAGAUUAGACGAACAGGUCUGGAAAGGCCGGCCAUAGAAGGUAAAAGCCCUGUAAUCGAAAAUGUGAACCCUCCGAGACGGAUCCCGAGUAGUGCGGGGCACGUGAAACCCCGUAUGAAUCCAGCAGGACCAUCUGCUAAGGCUAAAUACUCCCUAGCGACCGAUAGUGAAGCAGUACCGUGAGGGAAAGGUGAAAAGCACCCCGGAAGGGGAGUGAAAUAGAACCUGAAACCGUGUGCUUACAAGAAGUCAGAGCCCGAUCGAUGGGUGAUGGCGUGCCUUUUGUAGAAUGAACCGGCGAGUUACGUUCCCAUGCAAGGUUAAGGCGAGAAGCCGUAGCCGCAGCGAAAGCGAGUCUGAAUAGGGCGAUGUAGUAUGUGGACGUAGACCCGAAACCGUGUGAUCUACCCCUGUCCAGGGUGAAGGUGCGGUAACACGCACUGGAGGCCCGAACCCACGUACGUUGAAAAGUGCGGGGAUGAGGUGGGGGUAGCGGAGAAAUUCCAAUCGAACUCGGAGAUAGCUGGUUCUCCCCGAAAUAGCUUUAGGGCUAGCCUCGGAAUGAAGAGUCGUGGAGGUAGAGCACUGAUUGGGUGCGGGGCCCGCAAGGGUUACCAAGCUCAGUCAAACUCCGAAUGCCAUAGACUUAUAUCCGGGAGUCAGACAGUGAGUGCUAAGAUCCAUUGUCAAAAGGGAAACAGCCCAGACCAUCAGCUAAGGUCCCCAAGUGUGUGUUAAGUGGGAAAGGAUGUGGAGUUGCACAGACAACCAGGAUGUUGGCUUAGAAGCAGCCACCAUUUAAAGAGUGCGUAAUAGCUCACUGGUCGAGUGACUCUGCGCCGAAAAUGUAACGGGGCUAAACACACCACCGAAGCUAUGGCUUGAUGCUUGCAUCAGGGGUAGGGGAGCGUUGUGUAUGCGUUGAAGGUGUACCGUAAGGAGCGCUGGAGAGUACACAAGUGAGAAUGCCGGUAUGAGUAACGAAAAGAUCAGUGAGAAUCUGAUCCGCCGAAAGCCCAAGGUUUCCUGAGGAAGGCUCGUCCGCUCAGGGUAAGUCGGGACCUAAGGCGAGGCCGAAAGGCGUAGUCGAAGGACAACAGGUUGAAAUUCCUGUACCACCGUAAACCGUUAUGAACGAUGGGGUGACGCAGGAGGGUAGUGACGCGGACUGAUGGAUGUCCGUCCAAGCAGUGAGGCUGAUGUGUAGGCAAAUCCGCACAUCGUAAGGCUGGGCUGUGAUGGGGAGUGAAAAUUACAGUAGCGAAGGUCAUGAUCUCACACUGCCAAGAAAAGCCUCUAGUCAGGUGAAGGUGCCCGUACCGCAAACCGACACAGGUAGGCGAGAAGAGAAUUCUAAGGCGCGCGGAAGAACUCUCGUUAAGGAACUCGGCAAAAUGACCCCGUAACUUCGGGAGAAGGGGUGCCUCGGUAGGGUGAAUAGCCCGAGGGGGCCGCAGUGAAAAGGCCCAAGCGACUGUUUAGCAAAAACACAGGUCUGUGCGAAGCCGCAAGGCGAAGUAUACGGGCUGACGCCUGCCCGGUGCUGGAAGGUUAAGGGGAGCGGUUAGGAGGUAACUCCGAAGCUGUGAACCGAAGCCCCAGUAAACGGCGGCCGUAACUAUAACGGUCCUAAGGUAGCGAAAUUCCUUGUCAGGUAAAUUCUGACCCGCACGAAUGGCGUAACGACUUGGGCGCUGUCUCAACGAGAGAUCCGGUGAAAUUUUAAUACCUGUGAAGAUGCAGGUUACCCGCGACAAGACGGAAAGACCCCAUGGAGCUUUACUGCAGCUUGAUAUUGGAUUUGGGUACGAUCUGUACAGGAUAGGUGGGAGCCUUUGAAGCAUGAGCGCCAGCUUGUGUGGAGGCGACGUUGGGAUACCACCCUGAUCGUAUCUAGGUUCUAACCUGGUACCGUGAUCCGGUACGGGGACAGUGUCAGGCGGGCAGUUUGACUGGGGCGGUCGCCUCCUAAAGAGUAACGGAGGCGCCCCAAGGUUCCCUCAGAAUGGUUGGAAAUCAUUCGAAGAGUGCAAAGGCAUAAGGGAGCUUGACUGCGAGACCUACAAGUCGAGCAGGGACGAAAGUCGGGCUUAGUGAUCCGGUGGUACCGCAUGGAAGGGCCAUCGCUCAACGGAUAAAAGCUACCCUGGGGAUAACAGGCUUAUCUCCCCCAAGAGUCCACAUCGACGGGGAGGUUUGGCACCUCGAUGUCGGCUCAUCGCAUCCUGGGGCUGAAGUAGGUCCCAAGGGUUGGGCUGUUCGCCCAUUAAAGCGGUACGCGAGCUGGGUUCAGAACGUCGUGAGACAGUUCGGUCCCUAUCUGUCGUGGGCGUAGGAAAUUUGAGAGGAGCUGUCCUUAGUACGAGAGGACCGGGAUGGACGUACCGCUGGUGCACCAGUUGUUCCGCCAGGAGCACGGCUGGGUAGCUACGUACGGACGGGAUAAGCGCUGAAAGCAUCUAAGCGUGAAGCCCCCCUCAAGAUGAGAUUUCCCAGUAUGUAAGACCCCUUGAAGACGACGAGGUAGAUAGGUUGGAGGUGGAAGUGCAGCAAUGCAUGGAGCUGACCAAUACUAAUCGGUCGAGGGCUUAUCCUA